AACCCAUGGUGAGGGCACCUUCUCAAUAAGUCCUUAUACCUCUCCCAUGCAUCAUAUAGAGUCUCUAAAUCCAUUUGCACGAAGGCAGAGAUAUCAUUUCUUAGCUU
This 107-nucleotide small nucleolar RNA is filed under the name Gossypium arboreum. Its description in RNAcentral is "Plant small nucleolar RNA R71". It matches the Rfam family "Plant small nucleolar RNA R71". Rfam says of the family: R71 is a member of the C/D box family of snoRNAs containing the C (UGAUGA) and D (CUGA) box motifs. Multiple nearly identical copies of this snoRNA have been identified in Arabidopsis, and it is thought to function as a 2'-O-ribose methylation guide for 18S ribosomal RNA. Lineage: Eukaryota; Viridiplantae; Streptophyta; Magnoliopsida; Malvales; Malvaceae. The record is from Rfam by way of RNAcentral.